GUUGAUAAGGUUAAGUGAAUAAGGGCGCACGGUGGAUGCCUUGGCACUAGGAGCCGAUGAAGGACGGGACUAACACCGAUAUGCUUUGGGGAGCUGUACGUAAGCUAUGAUCCAGAGAUUUCCGAAUGGGGGAACCCAACAUCUUUAAUAGGAUGUUACGAUUGUGUGAAUACAUAGCACAUUCGAGGUAGACGCAGAGAACUGAAACAUCUAAGUACCUGCAGGAAGAGAAAGAAAAUUCGAUUCCCUGAGUAGCGGCGAGCGAAACGGGAAAAGCCCAAACCAGCAAGCUUGCUUGUUGGGGUUGUAGGACUCCAAUAUGGUAGUUCUUUCAGAUAGUCGAAUGACUUGGAAAAGUCAGUCAAAGAGGGUAAAAACCCCGUAGACGAAAUGUGGAAGACACCUAGGAGGAUCCUGAGUACGGCGGAACACGAGAAAUUCCGUCGGAAUCCGGGAGGACCAUCUCCCAAGGCUAAAUACUCCCUAGUGACCGAUAGUGAACCAGUACCGUGAGGGAAAGGUGAAAAGCACCCCGGAAGGGGAGUGAAAUAGAACCUGAAACCGUGUGCCUACAACAAGUCAAAGCCCGUUAAUGGGUGAUGGCGUGCCUUUUGUAGAAUGAACCGGCGAGUUACGAUUGCAUGCGAGGUUAAGUUGAAGAGACGGAGCCGCAGCGAAAGCGAGUCUGAAUAGGGCGUUUGAGUAUGUAGUCGUAGACCCGAAACCAUGUGAUCUACCCAUGUCCAGGUUGAAGGUGCGGUAAAACGCACUGGAGGACCGAACCCACGUACGUUGAAAAGUGCGGGGAUGAGGUGUGGGUAGCGGAGAAAUUCCAAACGAACUUGGAGAUAGCUGGUUCUCUCCGAAAUAGCUUUAGGGCUAGCCUCGGAAUUGAGAAUGAUGGAGGUAGAGCACUGUUUGGACUAGGGGCCCAUCUCGGGUUACCGAAUUCAGAUAAACUCCGAAUGCCAUUCAUUCAUAUCCGGGAGUCAGACUGUGAGUGAUAAGAUCCAUAGUCGAAAGGGAAACAGCCCAGACCACCAGCUAAGGUCCCAAAAUAUAUGUUAAGUGGAAAAGGAUGUGGGGUUGCACAGACAACUAGGAUGUUGGCUUAGAAGCAGCCACCAUUUAAAGAGUGCGUAAUAGCUCACUAGUCGAGUGACCCUGCGCCGAAAAUGUACCGGGGCUAAACAUAUUACCGAAGCUGUGGAGUACACCUUUAGGUGUAUUGGUAGGAGAGCGUUCUAAGGGCGUUGAAGGCAGAUCGUGAGGACUGCUGGAGCGCUUAGAAGUGAGAAUGCCGGUAUGAGUAGCGAAAGACAGGUGAGAAUCCUGUCCACCGAAUGACUAAGGUUUCCUGGGGAAGGCUCGUCCGCCCAGGGUUAGUCGGGACCUAAGCCGAGGCCGACAGGCGUAGGCGAUGGAUAACAGGUUGAUAUUCCUGUACCCGUUGUUUUUGUUUGAGCAAUGGAG
RNAcentral lists this ribosomal RNA (1473 nucleotides) under Enterococcus faecium. Its description in RNAcentral is "partial 23S ribosomal RNA". It matches the Rfam family "Bacterial large subunit ribosomal RNA", at positions 1 to 1469 of the family's 2925-position model. Lineage: Bacteria; Bacillati; Bacillota; Bacilli; Lactobacillales; Enterococcaceae. The record is from RNAcentral.